UCCCGUGUGUCGUCGUUGCGAGUCUCGAGAGUAGUUGCUCGUGCUGAGGACACGCUGGCGGCGUGCUUAACACAUGCAAGUCGAACGCUGAAGCUUGGUGCUUGCACUUGGUGGAUGAGUGGCGAACGGGUGAGUAUCACGUGAGUAACCUGCCCCUGACUUCGGGAUAAGCCUGGGAAACUGGGUCUAAUACCGGAUAUGACCAUCUUUCGCAUGCUGGGUGGUGGAAAGUUUUUCGGUUGGGGAUGGGCUCGCGGCCUAUCAGUUUGUUGGUGGGGUAAUGGCCUACCAAGACGACGACGGGUAGCCGGCCUGAGAGGGCGACCGGCCACACUGGGACUGAGACACGGCCCAGACUCCUACGGGAGGCAGCAGUGGGAAUAUUGCACAAUGGGGGACCCUGAUGCAGCGACGCCGCGUGGGGGAUGACGGCCUUCGGGUUGUAAACCUCUUUCAGUAGGGAAGAAGCCUUUGGGUGACGGUACCUGCAGAAGAAGUACCGGCUAACUACGUG
RNAcentral lists this ribosomal RNA (514 nucleotides) under uncultured Brevibacterium sp. RNAcentral's name for it is "bacterial SSU rRNA". It matches the Rfam family "Bacterial small subunit ribosomal RNA", at positions 1 to 507 of the family's 1533-position model. The record is from RNAcentral. Lineage: Bacteria; Bacillati; Actinomycetota; Actinomycetes; Micrococcales; Brevibacteriaceae.